UACGUAGGGUGCGAGCGUUGUCCGGAAUCAUUGGGCGUAAAGAGCAUGUAGGUGGAUCUAUUAGUCUGCUGUGAAAGUCAAAGGCUCAACCUUUGAAAGCCGGUGGAAACUGUUGAUCUAGAGUACGGAAGAGGCGAGUGGAAUUCCUGGUGUAGCGGUGGAAUGCGCAGAUAUCAGGAGGAACACCAAUAGCGAAGGCACCUCGCUGGGACGUAACUGACACUGAGAUGCGAAAGCGUGGGGAGCAAACAGG
This 253-nucleotide ribosomal RNA is filed under the name uncultured bacterium. Its description in RNAcentral is "partial 16S ribosomal RNA". It matches the Rfam family "Bacterial small subunit ribosomal RNA", at positions 524 to 776 of the family's 1533-position model. The record is from RNAcentral.